AACGAACGCUGGCGGCAUGCCUAACACAUGCAAGUCGAACGAGACCUUCGGGUCUAGUGGCGCCCGGGUGCGUAACGCGUGGGAACCUGCCCUUAGGUUCGGAAUAACUCCCCGAAAGGGGUGCUAAUACCGGAUAAUGUCUUCGGACCAAAGAGUUAUCGCCUUUGGAUGGGCCCGCGUUGGAUUAGCUAGUUGGUAGGGUAAAAGCCUACCAAGGCGACGAUCCAUAGCUGGUCUGAGAGGAUGAUCAGCCACACUGGGACUGAGACACGGCCCAGACUCCUACGGGAGGCAGCAGUGGGGAAUAUUGGACAAUGGGCGAGAGCCUGAUCCAGCAAUGCCGCGUGAGUGAUGAAGGCCUUAGGGUUGUAAAGCUCUUUUACCCGGGAUGAUAAUGACAGUACCGGGAGAAUAAGCUCCGGCUAACUCCGUG
Molecule: ribosomal RNA, 433 nt
Filed under: uncultured bacterium
Lineage: Bacteria
Description: partial 16S ribosomal RNA
Rfam family: Bacterial small subunit ribosomal RNA
Source: RNAcentral